GCAACUACAACAGUAUAGAUCCUGGCAAUUGCCACCAUAUUUAAUUCUUCAUGGUCAUAUCAAGUGGCCUUGGCCAGGUAAACCAACAGAAAGCAGGUAGAAGUAAAAGUACUAAGUAAAACCCAGGCACUGUGGGUCAUAAUUUUCCUGAGCCGACAUGGUAUCUUCAAGACAUCAGAAACCAGGAAAACAUAUGAGCAAUUUUCAGUAUGUAUAAAAAUAAUCAUGAAGGGAAGACAUAGAUAUAGGGAGGGUUUGCUAUAUAUUCUUCCAGAAAAGAAUAUGGUUCC
Long non-coding RNA from Mastomys coucha (southern multimammate mouse), 290 nucleotides. RefSeq lists it as uncharacterized. The transcript is spliced from 4 exons. NCBI's taxonomy places the organism in Eukaryota, Metazoa, Chordata, Mammalia, Rodentia, Muridae. The record is from RefSeq and is a predicted model, not a curated record.